UGUUUCCACUGAUUAUGUAUCAGGUAGAUUAUGUGCUUUAAUCAUGCUCUCGUCUCACUGAUCGGCUGAUGUGCUCACUGUGUUUCCUGCUUAUCCAGGCCACCAGAUGUCAAAAUCCGGGGGCUUUGUGCGAGUCAGGACCACAUUCUCAGCACUGGCAGGAGAGAAAGAAGAUGAUGACAGAUGUGAAGCGCACAAUGCUGAUGGCCCCUGAUGAGGACCGUAGAUAAUGAGCUUUUGGGAAAACAAAGGGAAGGCUUCGUCAUUGGCUGAGGACAGGGUACACCCUGCACCAUCACACGGUCACACAUCAUAUCAACAACCAUUCACACUCACUCAUCUUUGUAUUGUCAACCUACAAUGUCAAACUAAACUAAUCUGCAUGUUUUGGAACCAAAAGAACUAAGAGACAAGAAAACAUGACAAGGAAAUACAAACUCUAUUAUCUAAAUUCCUAUUUUGAUUCAAAACGUCCUGUAAGAUUUAAACAAACCACAGGAAGCUUUGGCCAAAAUUUUCAAAGGCACUGUCUAAAAUAAUCAAGCUUUGUUCCUUCAAGCUGAUUGUCAUUCAACAGCUUUAGCCGCUGUCCUCAACAAGGGGUCGCUUGACACCGGCAGAACAAUGAGUGAUUGCACAGAGGAACAAUUUCAAAGCAGCAUUAUGUGUCUCUGCACCUGCCACUGUCUGAAGACAGACACGUCACUUGAGACACAGCAGCACCACAGGCAGGAAGUGGAACCAAAAGUACAUUAGUCAUUGAUGUCCUU
This is a long non-coding RNA of Cynoglossus semilaevis (tongue sole), 770 nucleotides long. RefSeq lists it as uncharacterized. The transcript has 3 exons. The record is from RefSeq and is a predicted model, not a curated record. NCBI's taxonomy places the organism in Eukaryota, Metazoa, Chordata, Actinopteri, Pleuronectiformes, Cynoglossidae.